This 132-nucleotide non-coding RNA is filed under the name Ctenophora environmental sample. The record is from RNAcentral. Lineage: Eukaryota; Metazoa; Ctenophora.
AAUGCUGGACUUAAACACCAAUCGAUGUAGAAAAUAGGUGUGUUCUGAUUGCUGGAACAGGUAAUAUAUAAGCAUUAGUCGAAGGAGGUGAACUUAGUGUAUAUUUAAAGGAUGCUAGUUUGGUGGAGAAAA